Molecule: RNA transcript, 2824 nt
Organism: Gigantopelta aegis
Lineage: Eukaryota; Metazoa; Mollusca; Gastropoda; Neomphalida; Peltospiridae
Exons: 6
Source: RefSeq, a predicted model, not a curated record
UUUGUGGUCGAUUUAUUUAUAUUUCUUUCACUUUAUAUAAAAAAAGAAGAAAAAAAAGAAGAAAGAAAAAAGCUAACUACUGUCACGACGAUUUAAUAAUCAAUCACGUUACAAGGACAAGAAGGCGUAGGAGAGAAAAAUCCCGUAUUCCCGGUCAUCACUCCAGUCUAUCUGUCUAACACGAGUUAUCGUGUUUGACCUGGUUUCGGGACAGCAUGUGGCACAACGUGCUAAGACUAGUCGACCCACUCCAGUCUGCGCUGAUUCGGGAUACGAAACUAUCAUAGUGGACUAGACGAGGGUUAACUCCGGUGGGGGGAUGUACCGCUGAACGGAUGACACAUAUCUAUACUGCUGCCGGUGGCGAAUAGGAUUACAUGUCUCUUGCAAGUUACUACUCCAUUGAAAAGUGAAUGCCCGAUUUCCGCAGAUAGAGCAAACAAAUCGCUUCCCGCCGAUUCGCCAGAGAACUAGGAGAAGUGCCUCCUCUCUCUCCGCUGACACGAUUCGGGAUAAAAUACUUGUACUGGCAGAGAGUGAGCGACACCGGCAUCGACAAACAAAGAAGAGUUUCUCUCUAUCUCUCUACAGUAUGUCGGAUAGCCGGCGUGGAGAUGCUUGAACAUGCGGGACGUGCAUUGCCAACGCUGAUGAUCGGUUAUUCGCCUUCAAAAACGGUUAAUGGAUUGUGUUUCGUUUUCGGUUUGCUUUUCUCUCUGAACGUUUUGCUACAGUUCGAAUCGGAACGAUGACGCCUUGUGUUGAAGGUCGGGACACGAAACUAACUUCAAUGUGACGAAAAUGCGAAUUGAGUUUACCAUUUGUACAGUUUUUGUUGUUCUUCUACCUUUAUGGAUCGCAGACGAAGUUCAAUGCCGACUGUGCCAGCAAUGUGGAGAUAGCGGGCGAUACAAAGCCUGCAAAUAUGGCAGAGUAGAGCCUACGCUGUGCAAGGACAACCAGACGUAUUGCGCCACCUUUGCUGUCUCAAUGGAUAAAAAUGCGGGGCCAUACAUCGCCAGAAGUUGUACGAGUUUCAAUGGUUCCAUAUGCAAUGUUAAGACACUCUUCGACGGUCGUUCGGUGGCGAUUUGCCGGAAGUCAUGUGACACAGAUGGGUGCAACCAAGGAGAAUGGGAGAUCUAGGAUGAUGAUGAUGUAGAUGAUGAUGACAUAGUUGAUGAUGAUGAUGAUGUAGAUGCAUGUGGCAGAGACGUCUCGACGAUACCCAGUAGAGAAUGGUUUCCCUUCAUGCCGGGGUGUCGUUAAACAUUUAUUUCCUCAUUUGUGAAAACGAAAACAAAAAAUGCAGUUUUGACCUACAUCUUGGAUCGAUGGAGAUUUGCGUUUAGGACCGGAGAAUAACGAGCUGAUUGAGAGCACAGCGAUGGUUAGACAGUUACUUUGGGAAUGGUCUUAAGUGAUAUAGAUUUUCAUUGGUAGUCAAAUGGUUAAAAUCCAUUAAGCAACCGAAGGAUACUAUAAGCUGUACUAAAAUUGCAUUACGCCUUGGUGCCUUUAUUUGAAUAAACUCGAGUCGAGAUGAAAACCCAUUUUCGAUGGACCGUAUGGAAUUGCAGCAACCAAUGUUUGAUGCCUGCGCAACACCUAUUAAUUAUCUCUGGGAUUUAGAUCACGUGCAAGAGAGACAUGACAUACAGGGCAGAAUAAUGAAAACCAGCAUGCGAUCGCUGAUAAACAAUUUAUUUAUCCUGUUCUAUGAAGCAGUGAACAAAAAAAUUAAGUAAUAUUCAACAUUUUGAAAGCUGUAUAUUGCUUUCCUCUCUGGUAUUAAUGAUAUGUUUGUGCAUCACUGCUGUCUGACAAGGGACAUAACCAGUAUGUUAUCAGGCAAGGGACAUAAUCGGCAUCAGAUAUCUGGUAAUGGACUUCAUCGAUAUCUGAUAUCAAGCACGUGACUUAAUCGAUAUCUCAUAUCAAGCAGAGGAUAUAAUGAUUAGCUGAUAUCACGCAAAGAGCGAAAUGGGUAUUUUAGCUAUAUUUAUUAGAGGGAGCCAGUUUACGUGCGUGCGUAUAAUAAUAAUAAAUGAUGUAUUAAUACAGAAUGCAUGCAGUUGCCAGAGUAUGUGAGGAGAACCGGAACUGAAAAAGCAAUCCAGCUAACUCAUAUUACAUCUAAUACUUAAUAAUCUCAAUCAAUCAUCAUACUAAAAGUAUUUCUGUGCAUAUAUCAAAACCAGUCAUCAUUAACCAAAAAUACGUCCAUGACAAAAGUAAUCAUUUUAAUCAUAAAUAUAUCUACGUCAAUGUAUGUAUGUAUAUAUAUAUAUAUAUAUAUAUAUAUAUAUAUAUAUAUAUAUAUAUAUAUGUGUGUGUGUGUGUGUGUGUGUGUGUGUGUGUGUGUGUGUGUGUGUAUAGGCUAGGCCUAUAUUAGUGUUGCAGACUUUCGUUUAAAAAAAAUGGAGUCGUCAACAUUGUCGAGAAAAGGGGAAAUCGCGUUUAUCAAAAUUUUCUAUGAGGAAUUGCACUUCUAAACGUGAUAUACUAACAAAUUGAUACCCAUUUAUAACCUACAUACAUGUAUGUAAUAUAUUUUUUUAGAUUUAAUGUCAUGUGUUUUCGAAACAAUUCACUAAUACAGUAAUAAGAAAUAUAAUAAGGAAUAAGCCUCAAAAUAGAGGCAAGGCAUUUUGAUGGGGCGCACGUGCGCGAUUGCGCCUCUCAAAAAUGAAAGUCUGUGUUCCUAUUCCACACAUUCACUUUGAUUCACAAGAAGGUAGAUCGCCUGUCUCAGAGAGGUGGAUUUUUUUUUCACGUCAUUAACAAUGUACAUGCACUAAAUAAAAUGUAUUUAAUAUAUAAA